GGGCGCAAGCCUGAUGCAGCCAUGCCGCGUGUGUGAAGAAGGCCUUCGGGUUGUAAAGCACUUUCAGUCGUGAGGAAGGUAGUGUAGUUAAUAGCUGCAUUAUUUGACGUUAGCGACAGAAGAAGCACCGGCUAACUCCGUGCCAGCAGCCGCGGUAAUACGGAGGGUGCGAGCGUUAAUCGGAAUUACUGGGCGUAAAGCGCAUGCAGGUGGUUUGUUAAGUCAGAUGUGAAAGCCCGGGGCUCAACCUCGGAAUAGCAUUUGAAACUGGCAGACUAGAGUACUGUAGAGGGGGGUAGAAUUUCAGGUGUAGCGGUGAAAUGCGUAGAGAUCUGAAGGAAUACCGGUGGCGAAGGCGGCCCCCUGGACAGAUACUGACACUCAGAUGCGAAAGCGUGGGGAGCAAACAGGAUUAGAUACCCUGGUAGUCCACGCCGUAAACGAUGUCUACUUGGAGGUUGUGGCCUUGAGCCGUGGCUUUCGGAGCUAACGCGUUAAGUAGACCGCCUGGG
Molecule: ribosomal RNA, 512 nt
Filed under: Vibrio harveyi
Lineage: Bacteria; Pseudomonadati; Pseudomonadota; Gammaproteobacteria; Vibrionales; Vibrionaceae
Description: bacterial SSU rRNA
Rfam family: Bacterial small subunit ribosomal RNA
Source: RNAcentral